Saccostrea echinata is the source of this 970-nucleotide long non-coding RNA. RefSeq lists it as uncharacterized. The record is from RefSeq and is a predicted model, not a curated record. The transcript has 5 exons. Lineage: Eukaryota; Metazoa; Mollusca; Bivalvia; Ostreida; Ostreidae.
UGUAGAUCAAAGAAAUGUUCAUCAGAGAUGAAUAUGAUGCUUCAACUUUGAUUUUUGAUCAUCUAUAAAGAUCAAAGAAACAUACAUGGGAAAUGAAUAUGAUGCUUCGACUUUGAUUUUUGAUCAUCUAUAAAGAUCAAAGAAACAUACAUGGGAAAUGAAUAUGAUGCUUCGACUUUGAUUUUUGAUCAUCUAUAAAGAUUCAGUAUAUGUUAUACAUCAGAGAGAAGCAUGAUGCUUGAUUUUGACUGUCUAUUUGAAAGGCACCAAUACUUUAUAUUUCCAUUACGGCACUCUUCAAAUUAGAGGGGCGUUUAGUAGGGUCUCCUGGGACAAAAUUUGGCUGUGAUGGCGUCUAACUCUGUAAAUUAUCGGAGUUUACAGUGCACCGAUCUGAAGAAUAUAUUGAAAUCGAAAGGUUUUCCGUCUUCUAAUAGAAAUAAGCAAGACUUGGUUGAUUUAUGCGAGGGAGCAGAGGCGUUUAAUUUGCCACAUAUCGGUCAUUUUGAUGGUGAUAUACAGGCCUCCAUUAGCAGCAGACGAACGGUUCGUGGAAAAAAUAUCCACACCCAUAUCAUGAUGGUAGCAUCGCUUGGACACCGAAUCUUGCCAUUAUUCCCUCUAUAGAUGCCUUUGACGUGUCAUCUUUUCUUCAAAACUACUGUGGGUGGUCUGAAGAACGCUUACGGAACAGGAAAUCCGACAGUGGAUAUAAGCUUCAUUGCUCUGGUCACAUUUAUGAUGUCGUCAUGGCUCUGUUAGGUGAUGAUAUGUGUUUUAUCAAGGGAAAGUGUGUUCCUGAAACACGGCAGUCCAGUGAUCCCUAUAUCCCAUGGAUUCUGGUUGAAAAGUCAGGACACAUAUUUUCAGCAGAAUGCACAUGUGUUGCAUAAGUUUCAAUUUCUUCUCACUUUUGAAAUGUUAUUUUCUUGAUUGUGCUAAAAGUUUGAUUAAAUUUUAAGAGACUUCU